GACCAAGAAGUCUAACAUGUGUGCGAGUCAUUGGGUAUAUUGUUGAAACCUAAGGGCGUAAUUAAAAUAACUAUUUUAUGGGAUUACAAGUGAAUUAAUUUUCAUUUCUUCAUCCCGGGGCGUUCUAUACGAACAUGGUUCAAGCAAUUGGACCCUCUGUUCAAGAGCGUACCUUGAGCAUACAUGCUGUGACCCGAAAGAUGGUGAACUAUACCUGAUCAGAUCGAAGCCAGGAGAAAUUCUGGUGGAGGAUCGAAACAGUUCUGACGUGCAAAUCGAUUGUCAGAAUUGGGUAUAGGGGCGAAAGACCAAUCGAACCAUCUAGUAGCUGGUUCCCUCCGAAGUUUCCCUCAGGAUAGCUGGCGCAAAGAAUUAUAUUGUAUAUAAUCUUAUCUGGUAAAGCGAAUGAUUAGAGGCCUUGGGGCCGAAACGACCUCAACCUAUUCUCAAACUUUAAAUGGGUAAGAACCUCAUCUUUCUUGAUCUGAAGAUAUUGGGGUUUAGAUAUAUUGUGCCCAGUGGGCCACUUUUGGUAAGCAGAACUGGCGCUGUGGGAUGAACCAAACAUGAUGUUACGGCGCCUAAAUUAAUGACUCAUAUUGAUACCAUGAAAGGCGUUGGUUGCUUAAAACAGCAGGACGGUGGACAUGGAAGUCGUAAUCCGCUAAGGAGUGUGUAACAACUCACCUGCCGAAGCAACUAGCCCUUAAAAUGGAUGGCGCUCAAGUCAUAUGCCUAUACAUCAUCGCUAGAAUAAAAAUUGUUGACCGUUUGGCCAUCAUUAUGAAAUUCUAGUGAGUAGGAGGGUACAAUGGUGUGCGCAGAAGUGUUUGGCGUGAGCCUGCAUGAAGCCGCCAUUGGCACAGAUCUUGGUGGUAGUAGCAAAUAAUCGAAUGAGAUCUUGGAGGACUGAAGUGGAGAAGGGUUUCGUGUGAACAGUGGUUGAUCACGAGUUAGUCGGUCCUAAGCUUUAUGCGAAAGCUGUUUAAUUUAUGUUACACACAAAAAUUUUGUUGUACAUAAUUCAAUAAAAGCGAAAGGGAAUACGGUUCCAAUUCCGUAACCUGUUGAGUAUACGUUUGUUUAUUAAAAAUGGGUCUUAUUACACUCAUCCUGGCAACAGGAACGACCAUAGAGAAGCCUUCGAGAGAUACUGGAAGAGUUUUCUUUUCUGCUAAACAAGCGUAUCACCAUGGAAGUCUUUUAUAGAGAGAUAUGGUGAAUGGCUUGGAAGAGCAUGACAUUUACUGUUGUGUCAGUAUUUUCUCCUUGGACCUUGAAAAUCUAUGGUGGGGCCACGCAAACUUCUCAACAGACCGUACCGAUAUCCGCAGCCGGUCUCCAAGGUGAAGAUCUCUAGUCGA
RNAcentral lists this ribosomal RNA (1364 nucleotides) under Claustropyga abblanda. RNAcentral describes it as "eukaryotic LSU rRNA". It matches the Rfam family "Eukaryotic large subunit ribosomal RNA", at positions 664 to 1890 of the family's 3401-position model. The record is from RNAcentral. Lineage: Eukaryota; Metazoa; Arthropoda; Insecta; Diptera; Sciaridae.